This 376-nucleotide unclassified non-coding RNA is filed under the name uncultured fungus. RNAcentral's name for it is "partial contains small subunit ribosomal RNA, internal transcribed spacer 1, and 5.8S ribosomal RNA". The stretch from base 1 to 73 matches the Rfam family "Eukaryotic small subunit ribosomal RNA", at positions 1759 to 1831 of the family's 1831-position model. The record is from RNAcentral. Lineage: Eukaryota; Fungi.
UCAAACUUGGUCAUUUAGAGGAAGUAAAAGUCGUAACAAGGUUUCCGUAGGUGAACCUGCGGAAGGAUCAUUACUGAAGAAAUGGUAGUGCUGAGCUGGCUCUCAGGAGUUCUGUGCUCGCUCUAUCGCUUUUUCUACUCUCCACUGUGCACCUAUUGUAGGCUAUAAUAACUCUCAAAUUUGUAUCCCUUACAAAGGGGUCUAUUUGGAUAGAAGGCCAUGCAAAUUCUAUUUGCUUGCUUUCGACUUUGUAGCCUAUGCCUAUAUCAAACUCCUUAUAGUCUCAUGAAUGUCUAUUGUUGGUCUUUUGACCGAUAAACUAUAUACAACUUUCAGCAACGGAUCUCUUGGCUCUCGCAUCGAUGAAGAACGCAGC